CUUGGGUGAAACUGGGACAGAAGCUGACCUACUUAUGGAGUGCAUGCUUCACACCUGAGUCUAAACUUCCCUCAUGAACUGGAAGGUUCUAAAUAUACUCUAGUGCAGAGCAGGGAGUUCUUCUGGAACACUGCACUUUGUCUCUGCUUUUCUCCAUGUGCCAGCCCAUGGAUGCACUUUUCAGUCUUUUCGUGUGUCAUGAUGUGAUUAAAAACUGAAUCCUGUUCGCUAUGAACUCAGUCACCCACCCCCAUUCACAUAUUAAAACCCUAACCUCCAGUGUAACUGUUCUAGGUAAUUAAAGUUAAAUGAGGUCAUAAGUGUGGGGUUCUAAUCCAGUAGGAUUGGUAGUCUUGUAAAAAGAGAAAGAGAGCUCUCUUGCCAUACCCAUGCACUGAGGAAAGGCCAUUGUGAGCAUGUGGGGAGAAGAUGGGCAUCUGCAAGCCAGGGAGAAGACCCUUACCAGCCCCUGACUACCCUGACUGCAGACUUCCAGCUUCCAGCGCUGUAAUGCACUUGACAUACUGCUUUACUGUUUAAGGCUCCUGUUACCUGCAAUCUGGAGACUAUGCUGAACAGAGAGAUGUUGUAAUCAAUUGAACCACAAGGAGAGUCACCCAAUCAGAACUCAGCAAGGCCAUUGGCACCUAGAAGAGUGGCCUCACACAGCUAUCAGAACACCAUACCUGAAUAGUGGUAGUUGAUGGAACACUUCUGAAAGUGACAUCAAGUGAUUGAAAAGUAAUUGACAUCAAUAGCAAACAAUUGCAAAAUAUCCUUUAACUUAUUACAAAAGUAUCUGCAAGUGGGAAUGGAACAUGGGCAGACAACCUAAACAGUGCAACCAAAAGGGGAAAGGUGGCACCUGGAGCAAAGCAGCUUGAUUAUGAAGGGCUUCUUCUAGGACCCUUGCUGUCUACAGCCUCUGGCUGAGACAGCCCAAAGGGCUUCCAAUGCUGCUCUGACGGCCCCUGGAGGUGUUUCUGCUCUUGGCCCACUCAAGCACGCAUACAAGCUUGGAAAUCUCCAGGAGUGUGGGACCGUCUCGCUUGGAUAAGAAGAGUGAGUGUUUUUCCUUCUGCUUGUCCAAAGAAAAAUGUUAGAAUUAGGGUAAAAAGAAAGAACAAGGGUCAAGUGUUAACAAGCCCUGCAGUUUCUUGGGCUGCCAGGCCAGCAUGAUUUGUAGCUAUCUUGGGAGAGUCUUGAUCCCCACACAUCCUGGCUCCUGUAUCACUUUACUGCAC
This is a long non-coding RNA of Heterocephalus glaber (naked mole-rat), 1244 nucleotides long. The record is from Ensembl. NCBI's taxonomy places the organism in Eukaryota, Metazoa, Chordata, Mammalia, Rodentia, Bathyergidae.